RNAcentral lists this ribosomal RNA (488 nucleotides) under uncultured bacterium. RNAcentral describes it as "bacterial SSU rRNA". It matches the Rfam family "Bacterial small subunit ribosomal RNA", at positions 33 to 507 of the family's 1533-position model. The record is from RNAcentral.
CGGACGACGCUGGCGGCGUGGAUUAGGCAUGCAAGUCGAACGGUAUCAUCCUUUCGGGGGUGAGAGAGUGGCGAACUGGUGAGUAACACGUAGGUUAUCUACCCUCAAGACGGGGACAACCCAGGGAAACUUGGGCUAAUACCGGAUGUGAGCAACUUUUAGUUGUUUGAAAGGUGGCGUAAGCUGUCGCUUGGGGAUGAGCCUGCGUCCUAUUAGUUAGUUGGUGAGGUAACGGCUCACCUAGGCAAUGAUAGGUAGGCGGCCUUAACGGGUGGUCGCCCACACUGGGAUUGAGAUACGGCCCAGACUCCUACGGGAGGCAGCAGUCGAGAAUAGUCUACAAUGGUCGGAAGGCUGAUAGUGCGACGCCGCGUGAACGAUGAAUCCCUUCGGGGUGUAAAGUUCUUUUAUAUGUGAGCAGUGCUUCUUAUAUUAACAGUAUGGGGAGAGAGAUAUUAGCAUAUGAAUAAGCAACGGCUAACUCCGUG